Molecule: ribosomal RNA, 1343 nt
Filed under: uncultured bacterium
Lineage: Bacteria
Description: 16S ribosomal RNA
Rfam family: Bacterial small subunit ribosomal RNA
Source: RNAcentral
GACGAACGCUGGCGGCGUGCUUAACACAUGCAAGUCGAACGGAAAGGCCCUGCUUUUGUGGGGUGCUCGAGUGGCGAACGGGUGAGUAACACGUGAGUAACCUGCCCUUGACUUUGGGAUAACUUCAGGAAACUGGGGCUAAUACCGGAUAGGAGCUCCUGCUGCAUGGUGGGGGUUGGAAAGUUUCGGCGGUUGGGGAUGGACUCGCGGCUUAUCAGCUUGUUGGUGGGGUAGUGGCUUACCAAGGCUUUGACGGGUAGCCGGCCUGAGAGGGUGACCGGCCACAUUGGGACUGAGAUACGGCCCAGACUCCUACGGGAGGCAGCAGUGGGGAAUAUUGCACAAUGGGCGGAAGCCUGAUGCAGCAACGCCGCGUGCGGGAUGACGGCCUUCGGGUUGUAAACCGCUUUCGCCUGUGACGAAGCGUGAGUGACGGUAAUGGGUAAAGAAGCACCGGCUAACUACGUGCCAGCAGCCGCGGUGAUACGUAGGGUGCGAGCGUUGUCCGGAUUUAUUGGGCGUAAAGGGCUCGUAGGUGGUUGAUCGCGUCGGAAGUGUAAUCUUGGGGCUUAACCCUGAGCGUGCUUUCGAUACGGGUUGACUUGAGGAAGGUAGGGGAGAAUGGAAUUCCUGGUGGAGCGGUGGAAUGCGCAGAUAUCAGGAGGAACACCAGUGGCGAAGGCGGUUCUCUGGGCCUUUCCUGACGCUGAGGAGCGAAAGCGUGGGGAGCGAACAGGCUUAGAUACCCUGGUAGUCCACGCUGUAAACGGUGGGUACUAGGUGUGGGGUCCAUUCCACGGGUUCCGUGCCGUAGCUAACGCUUUAAGUACCCCGCCUGGGGAGUACGGCCGCAAGGCUAAAACUCAAAGGAAUUGACGGGGCCCCGCACAAGCGGCGGAGCAUGCGGAUUAAUUCGAUGCAACGCGUAGAACCUUACCUGGGUUUGACAUGGAUCGGGAGCGCUCAGAGAUGGGUGUGCCUCUUUUGGGGUCGGUUCACAGGUGGUGCAUGGCUGUCGUCAGCUCGUGUCGUGAGAUGUUGGGUUAAGUCCCGCAACGAGCGCAACCCUUGUUCACUGUUGCCAGCACGUUAUGGUGGGGACUCAGUGGAGACCGCCGGGGUCAACUCGGAGGAAGGUGGGGAUGACGCCAAGUCAUCAUGCCCCUUAUGUCCAGGGCUUCACGCAUGCUACAAUGGCUGGUACAGAGAGUGGCGAGCCUGUGAGGGUGAGCGAAUCUCGGAAAGCCGGUCUCAGUUCGGAUUGGGGUCUGCAACUCGACCUCAUGAAGUCGGAGUCGCUAGUAAUCGCAGGUCAGCAACGCUGCGGUGAAUACGUUCCCGGG